This 225-nucleotide unclassified non-coding RNA is filed under the name Hevea brasiliensis (rubber tree). The record is from RNAcentral. Lineage: Eukaryota; Viridiplantae; Streptophyta; Magnoliopsida; Malpighiales; Euphorbiaceae.
UCCCUUUUUCCUUUUCUUUUCUUCAAGUUUUUUCUUCUCCUUUUUACUCCCAAGUGAUGUAUCUAGGUCUAAGAGUGUGAUUUUGUGUUGGAGUUUAAGAAAUUUAUGGGAAGAAACUAGAGAAAAGCAAGCUUUCUAAGUCCAAAAAUGGUGGAAAUGAAGAGAAAAUGAGAGAGAGAAAUGGGAGAGAGGGAGUGACGGGUGAAGAAGAAAAAAUUUGAGUUU